UUUUUUUUUUUUUUUUUUUUUUUUUUUGUCUUUUUUAGGGCUGCACUCAUGGCAUAUGGAAGUUUCCAAGUUAGGGGCAAAUCGGAGCUAUAGCCACCAGCCUACACCACAGCCACGGCAACGCCAGAUUGGAGCUGUGUCUGCGACCUACACCACAGCUCAUGGCAGCACUGGAUCCUUGAACCCACUGAGCCAGGCCAGGGAUCAAACUCACGUCCUCAUGGAUAUUAGUUGGGUUUGUUACUGCUGGGUCAUGAUAAGAACUCCCUUACAGUUGAGUCUUGAAGAAGAUCCUUUUUUUGGCUGAUGGCCACUUUUCCCAAGCCUAGAAACCAUUGUCAGGCUCAAAUAGAAGCUUUUAAGUCCAUAAGAACCAUGGCUGUGCCUCUUCAGAUGUGCCUAUCAGGCCAAUGAACAUCUGAAUCUUGCAAUGGCUUCAGGGUAGACAGCAGACCCCUAACCAGACCAUUUUCCUUUCACACUACACCUGGUGAUUUUUUUUUUCCUUUUCUGCUGUGUUGGCUUGUGAAGACAAAAUCAAGACAAUAUAGCUAAAUGGUUAGUAUAAGAAAGAUCUCAAUAAUAUUUUUUUUCCUAGCAGGCAUUUUCCACUUCUUUCUUAACUAUUUCCUAAUUCCAACAUUGUACAUCUAUCCCCAUGGACAAUUUUACCUCCAUUUCAUAAAGCAUUGAUAAGCCAAGUCCUGGAAAAAAAAUAGUUUUGUAGCCUCGGGUAAGUUAGGAAAAUAGGAUCAAAGUUCAAGGAUUGAUAUCAUCAUGAUUUGGCUCUGUUCGAAUUCAUUUGUUUCCUAAGUGGAAGAAAUAACUGAUAGGCUUGGUUAAUGAUCUAAUGUACCCAAAGUAUUUGCCCAAGCCUCACACUAAUGAAAGUGCAACACACCUUUUGGAUUCUACCCACAGAACCUUUCAACCUAAGACACCACCUGGAGUUUCCAAAUCAAAGUCUGGCCCUCUGAUGAGCUGACUGAGGAAAGCAGCUCAAGUUCACUGGCAAUAACCAGCUCACCUGUAUGAAGAGAAGGUGAUUUUUCAGGGCACCAUUUUAUUCACAGGUUACAUUUGCUUUAACACAGAGUCUGUAUUCUAUUUUUCCUUGGUGAGAGUUCAGUUAUGGGUCAAAAACAUCUAACAGGAAAAAGUAUUCAUGUCUGAGCACAGGAUUUAGACAGAAACUGCGAAUAAGAAAGAAGAGUCAGAACCCACGAAACCAGGUUUAAAGUUCUCAAGAAAAAUGUAGGUAACUAUUUAAAGUGUUAGUGAUAUUACUUAAAACUCCUCUAUCCCAUUCAAAGCACUUCAUAUGACUUUGCAUUUAGAGAAUUCCAAACAUUUUCCUUAGUCAGUGUACUAAGAAGUGCUCCCAAAUGAGAUUGUUUUGGAAAUUUCUAGAAUUCUAGAAAUUAUUUCUGUAGGGUGUAAAAUUAUAAAUAUUUUCAAAGAGAAAAUAAAUCUUUUAUGAGAGACAUUGUUUUGGGCUGUAUUGACUCUCACCACUUUGGCCUUAAGAAAUUCUGCCUUCUUUAUUUAAACAUGCUGUCUGAAUAGAGGACAUUGCUAAAAACAAACAAAAAAAGGAAGGAAGAGAACUGCUUUUCCAAGGCACAGUUUCAGCCCUUUAAAACUUAACACGCAAUAAAAAUACUCCCUUUAUUACCAUUACCCACUUCAGCAGCAAUUCAAAGUUCACAGCAAUUCAGAGAAAAGGCCACAUUUCUUAAAGCAGAAUCAAAGGCACUUGAGACUUUCUGAGAUGACAGGCCACAGACAUAAAUAAAAGCACUCAAUAAAAAUAUUUCCCAUUCCAUUGUGUAUUAGAAUUUUAUAAAUACCUGUGUAAAGACUUAGCCGCUCUCUCAACAGACACUCAGUAAAAUUUUAGAUGAUUUUUCCCAAUUGGUGGGCAUUUACUGCUGACCUCUGGAUCUGCAUUUCUGUACCACAUUUUUUUUUUUUUUAAAUGAAUAACUUGUGUGGAUUACAGUCAAGCUCUCUGAAGAAUUCUAAAGAGUUCAGUUCUCCUGGCUAAUUAACUGCCAGCACACUUACUGAAAUGAGUAAUGUGUGUGAAAGAAUCCACACAGAUGUGGUAAAAAGCUGGAAAGUAUGCACUGGACUGAGAAUUGGGCUCUGAACAUUAACUCCAUUUUCUCAACUUUGCAAAACAGGGAAGCAGGGAUGGCUAAUUGGAUGGGUUUUGAAGUAUCUCACUGGUUCCCAAGAUAUCUGUGGACCAGAGGAAUCAAAAGACCCAUAAAACUCAGAAAUGACAAAAUCAGAUUGUAUAAGGGCAUGUAAAAAAAGUUGUUUUUUUUUCUUUUUAGGCCUGCACCUAUGGCAUAUGCAAGUUCCCAGGUUAGUGGCUGAAUCAGAACUAUAGCUGCCAGCCUACACCACAGCCACAACCACUAGGGAUCCAAGCCAUGUCUGCAACCUACACCACAGCUCACUGCAAUGUCAGAUCCUUUACCCACUGAGAGAGGCCAGGAAUCAAACAACAUCUUCAUGGAUACUAAUCGGGUUCAUUACCGCUGAGCCACAAUGGGAACUCCAAGGCGUGUGAAUUUAAAUUCAAAAAAUUUAAUUCACACUUUAAUUGUACUAGGAAUAUUAUUACUUUAAAAAGCUUGCUUAAGGCAUUCCCUCGUAGUCUAGUGGUUAAGGACUUGGUGCUUUCAAUGCUUUAUCUGGAGCUUGAUCCCUGGUCUAGGAACUAAGAUCUCACAUCAAGUUGCUGCACACCAUGGCCACACACACACAAGCUUUCUUAGAAAAGUAUCUUUUGUAAUUGAUUAAUUAAUAUAACUUUCCAAUCUAACUUUCUUUCUAGUGCAUUUAAUUUUUUAAAAUUUAUAUAAAGUAGUACAAUGAAGUCAUUACAGGGAAAGAAGGUGAGGUUUAAAUUUAAAAAAAAAAAAAGAAUCCCUAUAGGAAUUAUAAUUUAUGAAAUAAAGUAACAUCUCUGCCUGGCAGGACCCGGGCCUCAGUGAGCAAGGCCCCAGCCUAUGUCACAGGUUUUCCAUGUACAUAAAAGGACCUGGAUAUAUAUUUGAUGAUGGACAGAUUUUAGGGUGACUAGAAAGGUUCCCUUUCCCUCAGCAUCACCCGCUUAUCAUAUCUGAGAAUGCUGUUAAGAAACUACUUAAAGAAAGUGUCAUUUUUGGAGUUCUUGUUGUGGUUCAAUAGGUUAAGAACACAACUAGUAGCAAUGAAGAUGCAGGUUCAAUCCCUGGCCUCGUUCAGUGGGUUAAAGGAUCCACUGUUGCCUCAAGCUGCUGUGUGUUGCAAAUGUGGCUUGGAUCUUGAGUUUUUGUGGCUGUGGUAUAGGCCGAAGCUCCAGUUCGACUCCUUACCUGCAAGCUUCCAUAUGCUGCAGGUGCAGCCCUAAAAUUACAAAAAAAGAAAAAGAAAAAAAGAAAAAGAAAAAGAAAGAAAAAAAAAAAAAGAAAGAAGAAAAAGAAAGAAAACGUCAUGCUGAUUUUCAAUUAGAAUGGAAGUAGUUUGGGUAACAGACCACAUCACUUUAAAUGCAGGCUAAGGGAUCAAUAAUGGAGCUUAGACCAUAGCUGGGCUCAGAAACCACACAGCCUAGGGCUGUCCAUGAAGGCGGGCAAAACAAAGGGGUGGAAAGAGCCAUGUGCAGACACCCUUGCAACAUUGCUGAGCACUAUAUCAACAUCUUUGUGCCUCUCCCGGGACAAAGAGGUGCUCCACCUCCUAAAAACUUCUGCACUCCGUCUUGGUAGUGACCUACUCUGCUGGCCAAAAGUGUGCCACAUCGCUUGAGGGACCCAACGCUGGUGAUGUGUGACUGUGGGAAAGCUGUUUAACCUCUUGGUGCCUCAGUUUCCUCUUUUGUAAAAUGGAGACCUUCAAGUGGUUCUUGUGAAAAUUCAAUGAUGGGAAUGUUAACGUACACAGUAGCCACUCAGCACGUGUUAUGAGCAGGGAGUCACAGGGCUGUAGGCUGACAUGUUCCAAGCUGCACUCAGUGCAGACCAGACUUCAUGGGAUUGCAAAGAGGCAUCAAAAUCCCAGAGUUCUACAAGCAAAAAGAAAACUUCAAAAUCAUCUUACUGUGCUGAGGGUUGUUGCCCAGAGUCUAGCACACAUUUUGUUUAAUAUACAUAUAAAAGUAAGCCACUAAGACUGAGAAACUGCUCAGAAAAACUUGAAUUUUCAAGCUUUUUUGAAACAUAUGGCCACCUGUACCCAUUAGUGUAUAUACUGAGUUAUCUUAAUUUGCAGUAGCAGGGUUAUGACUGCUGCCUUUAGACCAAAUUGAGGCUCUCCAGGCAGUUUGCCAAAGUUUCCACCACUCCCUACUGCCCUUGACAUUUACCCAGUUGUGGGUUGCUAUUGCAUGUUUUUAUGUUUUUCAUUUUUCUUUCAGCCACACCCACUGCAUGCAGAAAUUCCUGGGCUAGGGAUGGAACCUGCACCACAGCAGUGACCUAAGCCACAGCUGUGACAGUGCCAGAUCCUUAACCUAUUGUGCCACCCCCUUCUCCAUAAUUUUUAAAAGCAAGGCUUUUGCCUCUUAGUAAGAGACAGACAUAAAAAAACCAAACAGGAGUUCCCGUUGUGGAGCAGUGGUUAACGAAUCCGACUAGGAACCAUGAGGUUGCGGGUUCGGUCCCUGGCCUUCCUCAGUGGGUUAAGGAUCUGGCGCUGCCAUGAGCUGUGGUGUAGGUUACAGAUGUGGCUCGGAUCCCAUGUUGCUGUGGCUCUGGUGUAGGCUGGCGGCUACAGCUCCGAUUAGACCCCUAGCCUGAGAAACUCCAUAUGCCACGGGAGCGGCCCAAGAAAUGGCAAAAAGACAAAAAAAAAAAACAAAAACAAACAAACAAAAAAAAAAAACCCAAAAAACAAAAAAAACAAGCAAACACAUCUCUCUGUACCUAUUUCCUUAACAAAAGUGGAACAAUAAAAUGUAAACCCUCAGAGAUCAUGUGACUAUUAUCAUACCUGGCCCACCUUAACCACUGUCAUUUUUGGCAACUGUAUUUGUGUUGUGAUCCCUGAUCUAGUCUAAAACUUCUUUCACAAAAAUGAAAAAUGAGGGACCCAGAGAGAUUAACUGAGUGUCUGAGAUCAAGUCUUGUUAAUGGCAGAAGCCAUGCCCACCUGCAGGUCUUUUUUUCCCCCUCAUUAGUGCUUCCACUUCUUGGUCCACUUUUUUCUUCCUAAAUAAAUGAGCUAAUGUGGGUUCAAUCCAUGUUCCAUGUGAAAAAGCAGAAACCAGGGGAACUCCACCAACUACAACAAAGCAGCACAGAAGGUAGUUGUAACACAAAAGGACUGGAAAAGAACAUGUACUGCUUUACCAUUCUGUGCAUCUCAGUCAGGUUGCCUGCAAUGAAAUAUUUUGAUGGAUGAAGCUGAAGGAGUGAGGUCCUCUCAACUAGCUGCUCCGUUUCAUUGAUGCUUCAUUGCCCCAUUCAUAUUGAAUCACUAAUAUUUUUUCUAACGUGUUUCCUAACUACUUAACUAAAUGAAACAGUGACCUAAGUGACAAGAAUCUAUCAUACGACACAGAAGAAACCCCCAAAUGUCUAGAAAGAAGGAGCUGGAGAAAGAAACAGGGCAGAAGGGAAACAGAAGAUGUUUCUCCUUAUUCAGCCCCCUCCACAGACAAUCUUUUGCGGUCUCUUAUUUCCUCUUAAUGAAAUGAGUCUGUCGUAGGCAGUAGGUAUGUCACUUUCCCUCAGGAUAAUGAUAUUUCUCUUACUCAUGGGCUUGUCUCUUCCACAGAAGAAAUGGCAGGCACAAACGUUAUAUGGCUUAUUAAUUGACUUCAGUUUCCUUUCCCUUAUUUUUUGUAUUUUGACACAAGGACUCUGUGAGCUGGGUAGUUUAGACUAUGUCUGCUCCCUACCUUGCCAUCAGAUGAUCCCACUGAUAACUGUUUAGUUUUAUUCUAUGUAUUUCACUUAGAAAAGUCUAUGAUUUAUUUCUAGUUCUACCACCUGGCAUUUGCCAGAGUUGAAUCAGGCUUCUUGGAGACUUACCCUUAAAACACAUGGGAUCACAUCUACUUUGGAGGCUGCUGGAAUGAACAAAUGAGAUAGAUUUGUGUAAGCACUUUGGAGACUAUAAAGCACCCAAUGUAUGUGUCCUGACAUCCAGAUGUUGUAUUAAAUACUAGGGUUUUUGAGAUGUUUGAGAGAAGCCAGCUCUGGGACACAAGGUUCUUCUUCUUUUUUUUUUUUUUUACUGUUUAGGGCCACACCUAUGGUAUAUGGAAUUUCCCAGGCUAGGGAUGGAAUCAGAGCUUCAGUUUCCAGCCCACAGCCACAGCCACAGCAAUGCAGGAUCUGAGCUGCAUCUGUAACCUAUGCCGCAGCUCAUGGCAACAUUGGGUCCUUAACCCACUAAGCAAGGCCAGGGAUUGAACCUACAUCACAGUCGCAUUCCUUACUGCUGAGCCACCACAGAAACUCCUGGGACACAUGACUCUUGAGUCCAUUUAGAGAGACUACAGAGACUGAAAACAAAUCCUAGGCAGGAGGAAGGGUCUCCAGGGAGAUCAAUGCAGCAGGUUUGGUGCCAAAUUCCUU
Molecule: long non-coding RNA, 6578 nt
Filed under: Sus scrofa (pig)
Lineage: Eukaryota; Metazoa; Chordata; Mammalia; Artiodactyla; Suidae
Description: lncRNA (ENSSSCG00015077584.1)
Source: RNAcentral